Molecule: transfer RNA, 72 nt
Filed under: Cordylochernes scorpioides
Lineage: Eukaryota; Metazoa; Arthropoda; Arachnida; Pseudoscorpiones; Chernetidae
Description: tRNA-Asp
Source: RNAcentral
AUCCCAAGCUGGGAAUUGAACCUGGGCCUCCUGGGUGAUAUCCAGGUAUCCUAGCCACUAGAACACGUGGGA